RNAcentral lists this unclassified non-coding RNA (144 nucleotides) under soil metagenome. RNAcentral's name for it is "partial internal transcribed spacer 1". The record is from RNAcentral.
UAAUAAGUGUUUUAUGGCACUUUUUAAAUCCAUAUCCACCUUGUGUGCAAUGUCAGUCGAUCUUCUUUAUGGAGAUCGACCAAACAUCAACCUUUAUUUUUAACUCUUUGUCUGAAAAAUAUUAUGAAUAAACAAUUCAAAAUA